This 497-nucleotide ribosomal RNA is filed under the name uncultured bacterium. RNAcentral describes it as "partial 16S ribosomal RNA". It matches the Rfam family "Bacterial small subunit ribosomal RNA", at positions 28 to 507 of the family's 1533-position model. The record is from RNAcentral.
GAUGAACGCUGGCGGCGUGCCUAAUACAUGCAAGUCGAGCGAACAGACGAGGAGCUUGCUCCUCUGACGUUAGCGGCGGACGGGUGAGUAACACGUGGAUAACCUACCUAUAAGACUGGGAUAACUUCGGGAAACCGGAGCUAAUACCGGAUAAUAUAUUGAACCGCAUGGUUCAAUAGUGAAAGACGGUUUUGCUGUCACUUAUAGACGGAUCCGCGCCGCAUUAGCUAGUUGGUAAGGUAACGGCUUACCAAGGCAACGAUGCGUAGCCGACCUGAGAGGGUGAUCGGCCACACUGGAACUGAGACACGGUCCAGACUCCUACGGGAGGCAGCAGUAGGGAAUCUUCGGCAAUGGGCGAAAGCCUGACGGAGCAACGCCGCGUGAGUGAUGAAGGUCUUCGGAUCGUAAAGCUCUGUUAUUAGGGAAGAACAAAUGUGUAAGUAACUAUGCACGUCUUGACGGUACCUAAUCAGAAAGCCACGGCUAACUACGUG